GGAGGAAAUAGUAGCAGCAGGGUUGUAGGGUUUUGAGGAGGAGGUAGAAGCAGUAGGUUUGGACAGUUGGAGGAGGUAGAAACAGCAGGGUUGGACGGUUGGAGACGGAGGAAGAAGCAGCAGGGUUGGAGGGUUGGAGGAGGAGGUAGAAGCAGCAGGGUUGGACGGUUGGAGGAGGAGGUAGAAGCAGCAGGGUUGGAGGGUUGGAUGAGGAGGUAGAAGCAGCAGGGUUGGAGGGUUGGAGGAGGAGGUAGAAGCAGCAUGGUUGGAGGAGGAGGAGGUAGUAGCAGCAGGGUUAGAGGAGGAGGUAGUAGCAGCAGGCUUGGAUGAGGAGGUAGAAGCAGCAGGGUUGGCAGAUGAGGUAGAAGCAGCAGGGUUGGACGGUUGGAGGAGAAGGUAGUAGCAGCAGGGUUGGAGGAAGAGGUAUUAGCAGCAGGGUUGGAGGAGGAGGUAGAAGCAGCAGGGUUGGACGGUUGGAGGCGGAGGUAGAAGCAGCAGGGUUGGAGGAGGAGGUAGUAGCAGCAGGGUUGGAGGGUUGGAGGAGGAGGUAGAAGCAGCACGGUUGGAGGAGGUAGUAGCAGCAGGGUUAGAGGAGGAGGUAGAAGCGGUAGGGUUGGAGGAGGAGGUAGAAGCAGCAGGGUUGGACGGUUGGAGGAGAAGGUAGUAGCAGCAGGGUUGAAGGAGGAGGUAGUAGCAGCAGGGUUGAAGGAGGAGGUAGUAGCAGCAGGGUUGGAGGGUUGGAUGAGGAGGUAGAAGCAGGAUGGUUGGAUGAGGAGGUAGUAGCAGCAGGGUUGAAGGAGGAGGUAGAAGCAGCAGAGUUGGAGAAGGAGGUAGUAGUGGCAGGGUUGGACGGUUGGAGGAGGAGGUAGUAGCAGCAGGGUUGGACCGUUGGAGGAGGUAGAAGCAGCAGGGUUGGAGGGUUGGAGGAGGUAGAAGCAGCAGGGUUGGACGGUUGGAGGAGGAGGUAGAAGCAGCAGGGUUGGACCGUUGGAGGAGGUAGAAGCAGCAGGUUUGGAGGAGGAGGUAGAAGCAGCAGGG
RNAcentral lists this long non-coding RNA (1038 nucleotides) under Salmo salar (Atlantic salmon). RNAcentral's name for it is "lncRNA (ENSSSAG00000095011.1)". The record is from RNAcentral. Lineage: Eukaryota; Metazoa; Chordata; Actinopteri; Salmoniformes; Salmonidae.